This 337-nucleotide unclassified non-coding RNA is filed under the name soil metagenome. RNAcentral's name for it is "partial contains 5.8S ribosomal RNA, internal transcribed spacer 2, and large subunit ribosomal RNA". The stretch from base 1 to 120 matches the Rfam family "5.8S ribosomal RNA", at positions 35 to 154 of the family's 154-position model. The record is from RNAcentral.
GAUGAAGAACGCAGCGAAACGCGAUAAGUAGUGUGAAUUGCAGAAUUCAGUGAAUCAUCGAAUCUUUGAACGCACAUUGCGCCCCAUGGUAUUCCGUGGGGCAUGCCUGUUCGAGCGUCAUUUACCCCCUCAAGCUCCGCUUGGUGUUGGGCGUCUGUCCCGCUUCGCGCGCGGACUCGCCCCAAAGGUAUUGGCAGCGGUCGUGCCAGCUUCUCGCGCAGCACAUUGCGCUUCUCGAGGCACCGGUGGGCCCGCGUCCAUCAAGCUCACCCCCCCAGUUUGACCUCGGAUCAGGUAGGGAUACCCGCUGAACUUAAGCAUAUCAAUAAGCGGAGGA